This 436-nucleotide ribosomal RNA is filed under the name uncultured bacterium. Its description in RNAcentral is "bacterial SSU rRNA". It matches the Rfam family "Bacterial small subunit ribosomal RNA", at positions 9 to 439 of the family's 1533-position model. The record is from RNAcentral.
GAGUUUGAUCUUGGCUCAGGACGAACGCUGGCGGCAUGCCUAACACAUGCAAGUCGAACGGAGAUACGAGAGCUUGCUUUUGUAUCUUAGUGGCGGACGGGCGAGUAACGCGUGAGCAACCUGCCCUUCAGUGGGGAACAACGUCUGGAAACGGGCGCUAAUACCGCAUAACGUAUCGAGAUCACAUGGUUUUUGAUACCAAAGGAGCAAUUCGCUGAAGGAUGGGCUCGCGUCCGAUUAGCUAGUUGGUAGGGUAACGGCCUACCAAGGCGACGAUCGGUAGCCGAACUGAGAGGUUGAUCGGCCGCAUUGGGACUGAGACACGGCCCAGACUCCUACGGGAGGCAGCAGUGGGGGAUAUUGGUCAAUGGGGGAAACCCUGAACCAGCAAUGCCGCGUGAGGGAAGAAGGUCUUCGGAUUGUAAACCUAAGUAGU